UCCAAUUGCCCUAAUUUUUUGUGUGUUGAUCAUGUUGCAUGUUAUGUUCAUCCAUGAAUUUUCUCAAGAUUAUUUGAAUCAUUUUUGAAUUAAUGUACAUUUGUUCAUUUUGAUGUCACAAUGUGCUUCCAACUUGCAUACCUUGCCAUGUUUGGUUCAUGAAAUGAAUUUGGUGAAUGAUAAUGAGAUGAGACCUUUUGGAUGGUGUUCUUUAAUUGAUUGAGGUUGAUCCAUGUUGAAUUUCAUGUUCUGUUUUGA
This 258-nucleotide long non-coding RNA is filed under the name Lathyrus oleraceus (garden pea). RNAcentral's name for it is "Pisum sativum (pea) long non-coding RNA (PSAT_LNC004693)". The record is from RNAcentral. Lineage: Eukaryota; Viridiplantae; Streptophyta; Magnoliopsida; Fabales; Fabaceae.